GAUGAAGAACGUAGCGAAAUGCGAUAAGUAAUGUGAAUUGCAGAAUUCAGUGAAUCAUCGAAUCUUUGAACGCACAUUGCGCCCGCCAGUAUUCUGGCGAGCAUGCCUGUUCGAGCGUCAUUUCAACCAUCAAGCCCCAGGCUUGUGUUGGAGCCCUGCGGCUGCCGCAGCCUCCCAAAACCAGUGGCGGGCUCACUAUCACACCGAGUGCAGUAGUUUACUCUUCGCUCAGGGCGUGUGGCGGGUGCUAGCCGUGAAACCCCCAACUUCUCAAGGUUGACCUCGGAUCAGGUAGGAAUACCCGCUGAACUUAAGCAUAUCAAUAAGCGGAGGA
RNAcentral lists this unclassified non-coding RNA (334 nucleotides) under soil metagenome. RNAcentral describes it as "partial contains 5.8S ribosomal RNA, internal transcribed spacer 2, and large subunit ribosomal RNA". The stretch from base 1 to 120 matches the Rfam family "5.8S ribosomal RNA", at positions 35 to 154 of the family's 154-position model. The record is from RNAcentral.